Molecule: long non-coding RNA, 458 nt
Organism: Gymnogyps californianus (California condor)
Lineage: Eukaryota; Metazoa; Chordata; Aves; Accipitriformes; Cathartidae
Exons: 3
Source: RefSeq, a predicted model, not a curated record
UCAUUCCUCCAAACAAAUGAAUGCUGUUGGUGCUCUUCUGGCAGACAUCUUGUGACUGCUGCUCUGCAGGACUGAGUGCGUUGUAAAGUUGUUUAUCCUGAAUAAAAGAAACCAAAUCUGAAAAAUUCUCUUCAGAAGCUAGAGCUGAAGAAAGACAUCGUCAUCAGCCAAAUCUUCAAGAUGGAAAAGUGCAACUGAAUUUGGGAAGAUACGAUGUGUUUAUUGCCAUGACAAGGUUUUUUAUUGGCUGGAAAAGAUCUAUAAGGUAUCUCCAGUAGGCUGGGUGAAUCCUGCCCUCAACUGGCCACUUCUUUUCCCUGAUUGUAAAGGGAGAGCUGCAGAUGUUUACAUUGUACGUCCCUGAUCCUCAAAGUUGCUGAGCAUCUUGCAGCCUGUAAGCGUAACACAUGAAUACCUGUCCCAAGGGAAGAGCCCCACAUUAUGGAUCAGGAGCUGAG